RNAcentral lists this long non-coding RNA (204 nucleotides) under Setaria viridis. RNAcentral describes it as "long non-coding RNA (SVIR_LNC010584)". Lineage: Eukaryota; Viridiplantae; Streptophyta; Magnoliopsida; Poales; Poaceae. The record is from RNAcentral.
GUAUUCCGAGCAUCCCACGUAUUUUCAUGGCUACUGUACUCUCGUGAGGCGUGAGCUAGGAGAAGGUGCACUACGUUGUUGAUCGGUCAUGGUGCUUCAAUAAAUAGGCAUGCCCCCAAGGUCUUUGCUCAUCAGCUCUUCAUCUUACACGCAUUGUUUAGUGGUUGUGCUAGGCAACCUACUUGGUUCUGCGCCCUAUGAGAG